RNAcentral lists this long non-coding RNA (332 nucleotides) under Brassica napus (rape). Its description in RNAcentral is "long non-coding RNA (BNAP_LNC013528)". Lineage: Eukaryota; Viridiplantae; Streptophyta; Magnoliopsida; Brassicales; Brassicaceae. The record is from RNAcentral.
AUCCCCACCACACCCACCAUCUCCACCAUCCCCAACUUCUUUAAAGAGAAAGAGAGAGAGAGGGAGGGAGAAAGAGAGAGAGAAAGAGAGAGAGAAAGAGAGAGAAAGCUCACCUGAGCUCGUCGCCGGAACAACCGUGUGCCGUGAUCACGUUCAGCUUGCCACCACCGAUAAACGCCCUAGGUAACCGCCGGAAACCGCAUUCCUUAAGCUCAUUUUCUUUUCCGUUUAGUAAAUCACCCAUAACUUCCUAACCAUUGAUCAUCUCGUACAUCCAAGGCCAUCAUCGUGUUCCUCUCGUCGAGACGAAGCCGUAGACACCAACCACGCCU